This 355-nucleotide transfer-messenger RNA is filed under the name Salmonella enterica subsp. enterica serovar Enteritidis. RNAcentral's name for it is "partial transfer-messenger RNA". It matches the Rfam family "transfer-messenger RNA". From Rfam's summary of the family: Bacterial tmRNA, also known as 10Sa RNA or SsrA, is named for its dual tRNA and mRNA-like properties. Its role is to liberate the mRNA from a stalled ribosome. To accomplish this part of the tmRNA is used as a reading frame that ends in a translation stop signal. Lineage: Bacteria; Pseudomonadati; Pseudomonadota; Gammaproteobacteria; Enterobacterales; Enterobacteriaceae. The record is from RNAcentral.
GGGGCUGAUUCUGGAUUCGACGGGAUUUGCGAAACCCAAGGUGCAUGCCGAGGGGCGGUUGGCCUCGUAAAAAGCCGCAAAAAAAUAGUCGCAAACGACGAAACCUACGCUUUAGCAGCUUAAUAACCUGCUUAGAGCCCUCUCUCCCUAGCCUCCGCUCUUAGGACGGGGAUCAAGAGAGGUCAAACCCAAAAGAGAUCGCGUGGAUGCCCUGCCUGGGGUUGAAGCGUUAAAACGAAUCAGGCUAGUCUGGUAGUGGCGUGUCCGUCCGCAGGUGCCAGGCGAAUGUAAAGACUGACUAAGCAUGUAGUACCGAGGAUGUAGGAAUUUCGGACGCGGGUUCAACUCCCGCCAG